RNAcentral lists this ribosomal RNA (253 nucleotides) under uncultured bacterium. RNAcentral describes it as "partial 16S ribosomal RNA". It matches the Rfam family "Bacterial small subunit ribosomal RNA", at positions 524 to 776 of the family's 1533-position model. The record is from RNAcentral.
UACGUAGGGGGCAAGCGUUGUCCGGAAUUAUUGGGCGUAAAGCGCGCGCAGGCGGUCCUUUAAGUCUGAUGUGAAAUCUUGCGGCUCAACCGUAAGCGGUCAUUGGAAACUGGAGGACUUGAGUGCAGAAGAGGAGAGUGGAAUUCCACGUGUAGCGGUGAAAUGCGUAGAGAUGUGGAGGAACACCAGUGGCGAAGGCGACUCUCUGGUCUGUAACUGACGCUGAGGCGCGAAAGCGUGGGGAGCGAACAGG